GACGAACGCUGGCGGCGUGCUUAACACAUGCAAGUCGAACGGAAAGGCCCUGCUUUUGUGGGGUGCUCGAGUGGCGAACGGGUGAGUAACACGUGAGUAACCUGCCCUUGACUUUGGGAUAACUUCAGGAAACUGGGGCUAAUACCGGAUAGGAGCUCCUGCUGCAUGGUGGGGGUUGGAAAGUUUCGGCGGUUGGGGAUGGACUCGCGGCUUAUCAGCUGGUUGGUGGGGUAGUGGCGUACCAAGGCUUUGACGGGUAGCCGGCCUGGGAGGGUGACCGGGCACAUUGCUACUGCGAGACGGCGCAGACUCCUACCGUCGGCAGUGGUGGAGAGUAUUGCGCAGCGGGCGGGCGCCAGUUGUGACAGCCCCGCGUGCGUGAUGCCGUCUUUCGGGUUGUGAACCGCUUUCUCAUGUGACGUGGCGUGAGUGACGGUAAUUGGUAAGAAAGCACCGGCUAACUACGUG
RNAcentral lists this ribosomal RNA (468 nucleotides) under uncultured bacterium. Its description in RNAcentral is "partial 16S ribosomal RNA". It matches the Rfam family "Bacterial small subunit ribosomal RNA", at positions 28 to 507 of the family's 1533-position model. The record is from RNAcentral.